Molecule: ribosomal RNA, 500 nt
Filed under: uncultured bacterium
Lineage: Bacteria
Description: partial 16S ribosomal RNA
Rfam family: Bacterial small subunit ribosomal RNA
Source: RNAcentral
AUUGAACGCUGGCGGAAUGCUUUACACAUGCAAGUCGAACGGCAGCACGGGGGCAACCCUGGUGGCGAGUGGCGAACGGGUGAGUAAUACAUCGGAACGUGCCCAGUCGUGGGGGAUAACGUAGCGAAAGUUACGCUAAUACCGCAUACGAUCUACGGAUGAAAGCGGGGGACCGUAAGGCCUCGCGCGAUUGGAGCGGCCGAUGUCAGAUUAGGUAGUUGGUGAGGUAAAGGCUCACCAAGCCGCCGAUCUGUAGCUGGUCUGAGAGGACGACCAGCCACACUGGGACUGAGACACGGCCCAGUCUCCUACGGGAGGCAGCAGUGGGGAAUUUUGGACAAUGGGCGCAAGCCUGAUCCAGCCAUUCCGCGUGCGGGACGAAGGCCUUCGGGUUGUAAGCUGCUUUUGUACGGAACGAAAAGGCUCUGGUUAAUACCUGGGGCUCAUGACGGUACCGUAAGAAUAAGCACCGGCUAACUACGUGCCAGCCGCCGCAGUAA